AUUGCUCUGUAUCUGUUCCUGGAAACCUCCAAGCCAAAUUUUUAUAUUGCUGUUAGGAAGGCCGAGAAAUCCAAAGAGUUGCUAAAAAAUUGUUAGCACUAGUUGCAAUACUCAAAACUUACUGUAAAUAUUUACAAAGCUGCAAGCUAGUCAAAUUUAUACUCUCACUCAGUUAUAACCAACAUUAAAAAUAAAAUUCCUCAGUUUGCAAUUAGAUCAAUAGUUGUGUAGCUUCUGAGAUUUGUUCUUCAGUAUCUGCCCCUAUGGCUAAACAUUCUCCUUCAGUCCUGUACAUCAAGUAUUAAAAAGGGGACAUCAAAAUCUUAAAAUUAUAUGAUAAACUGUGGCUCCAGAAAACAUUUGCUAUAUUAAAACUGGUAGCAAAAUCUUUUAUUAACUUAAACUAGGGGUUUUAAAUAUGAACACAAAUUAUCCUUAAGUUUAUAAAGAUAUUUUAAUGGAAAGAUAGCUUUUGGAAGAUCAUGCUAUGUGACCAGGUUUCACAAAAUAAUUUCCUUUUUUUGAUUAUCUGAUCUUCAUUAAAAAAAAAAAAUCUUACCAUACCUCAAAUAGAGUGAAAAUAAACCCAUGUGAAAAAAAAAAAAAAAGAUAAGGAAGGCUUAGUCAGAUUUGGUUUUUAUUAUGAGAUUUACAUAUUGCCUUUUUCUAUCAAGAACAGGAGCUCCCACAGUGGCGCAGUGGAAACAAAUCUGAUUAGUAUCCAUGAGGAUGCAGGUUCAAUCCCUGGCCUGGCUCAGUGGGUUGGGGAACGUUGCCAUGACCUGUGGUGUAGGUUGCAGAUGCAGCUCUGAUCCAGCAUUGCUGUGGCUGUGGUGUAGGCCAGCAGCUACAGCUCUGAUUCAGCCCCUAGCCUGGGAACUUCCAUAUGCUGCAGGUGUGGCCAUAAAAAGACAAAAAAAANNNNNNNNNNNNNNNNNNNAAAAAAAAAAACAAAUUAAGAAGGACAUUCUCCAGUGGCACAGUGGAUUAAGGAUCCAAGGUUGUCACUGCAGUGGCUUGGGUUGUCAGGAUGACAACCAAGGUUAUAAGUUUCAGAAUAUUCUUCCCUCAAUAGUCAGCAACAGCCUUCUCAGAUUGCACAUGCCACUAUCUUUAACCUUUGCUUGGAUCAUCAAAUGAAAAUGAACCCAGUAUCACCAUUUCAUUACAAUCUGAGAAAACAGUGCUUUUGGUUUAAGAGAACCAUGUUGUUGGCUUGAAGGUUUUUUAAAACUUUUCAUUUCCAUACAUCAACUUGGGGAGUUUAUGUAUGUAUAUCAGUUAUAUAUACAUAGCAUGUAUCUAUAUGUUUGAUAGCAUUAGAACCAUAAAAGGUGAUUAAAAAACAAAUACAAGUCAAUAAUCUUUGGAUAUUACCAAAUGAUACAUAAAAUAAACAUAAAAUCAAACACUUAUUUAAAACUAUU
Molecule: long non-coding RNA, 1427 nt
Filed under: Sus scrofa (pig)
Lineage: Eukaryota; Metazoa; Chordata; Mammalia; Artiodactyla; Suidae
Description: lncRNA (ENSSSCG00065025844.1)
Source: RNAcentral